GCCAGGCAUGGUGCUGCAUGCCUGUAAUCCCAGCUACAUGGGAGGCUGAGGCAGGAGAAUCACUUGAACCCAGGAGGCAGAGACUGCAGUGAGCCGAGAUCGCGCCACUGCACUCCAGCCUGGGUAACAAGAGUGAAACUCAGUCUCAA
RNAcentral lists this small RNA (149 nucleotides) under Macaca mulatta (Rhesus monkey). Its description in RNAcentral is "Metazoan signal recognition particle RNA (ENSMMUG00000051011.1)". Lineage: Eukaryota; Metazoa; Chordata; Mammalia; Primates; Cercopithecidae. The record is from Rfam by way of RNAcentral.